This 200-nucleotide ribosomal RNA is filed under the name uncultured bacterium. RNAcentral describes it as "partial 16S ribosomal RNA". It matches the Rfam family "Bacterial small subunit ribosomal RNA", at positions 29 to 256 of the family's 1533-position model. The record is from RNAcentral.
AACGAACGCUGGCGGCAUGCCUAAUACAUGCAAGUCGAACGAGAUCUUCGGAUCUAGUGGCGCACGGGUGCGUAACGCGUGGGAAUCUACCCUUGGGUUCGGAAUAACAGUUAGAAAUGACUGCUAAUACCGGAUGAUGACGUAAGUCCAAAGAUUUAUCGCCCAGGGAUGAGCCCGCGUAGGAUUAGCUAGUUGGUGAG